UUUGAAUUCAAUGCAACCCUAUCCCGAGAGUUUCCAUUUCACACUCAACCCCAGUCCAUCCCUGGCCUCAUCUUCACCUUGAUCCCAAUCUCCAACCCAUCACCUGUGAACCUCGUUCUUGAAAUCAACCCAACCCAUUCCCAUCUCCUUCCUCUUACCCAUAUCCAAUCCAUCCUCUUCCCUUACACAACCCAUUGGCACCCUCACCCAUCCCCAUUCCCAGCCUCUACUCAGUAACCUCCCGAUCCUGUCCCACCACCACAGCUGGUGUGUUAUUUUGUGUAAGCUACUUCAUCUUUCUGAGCCAGUGCUCCCAUCUAUGGGAUGCAGAUAAAAUUUCCUACCAGGUGGAGGUGUAAUGAAGAUUGAAUUAGAAAAUGUCAGUACUUGGGCUGCAUGUGGUAAAACAUGUCUUUAAUCCCAACUACUCAGGAGGGUGAGACAGGAGGAUCAAAAGUUCAAGGCCAGCCUGGGUGAUUUUGCUAGACUUGGCCAUAAAAUAAAAUAUAAAAAGGGGUGGAGUGUAGCUCAGGGUCAGAACACUUGCCUACCAUGAGUGAGGCCCUGUAUUCAAUCUUUCCUUCUUACUGAAAAGGAGGAAAGAAAAUGCCAGUACUUGGACAUGAGGGUGAUGUGGCUACAACACCUAGCACCCCAUUGAUCACCAGGGUUGAUUUGGCUAAUCUUGCCAGUUAGGUGAAUGUCCCCUGCCUCCCUCACUGAUCCAUGUAUGUCCCUCCUAAAGCUGCACACUCUGUUCUAAGAAUCGUUCUCCAGUCAAAAGUGUAUGAGGAAAAAAAAGUGUAUGAGUAAUGCACUCCCCUGGUAGAACUCUCAGGCAGCAUGUGUAGGACAACAUGAGUUAGCCAAACUUCCAAGACUGAAGACAUAUCAAAUGAGGCACUGCAGGUGCCAGACUGCCUUUCAAAAAAGAGAAAGAUGUCAGUACUUGAGGUUAGCUACUAAAUCUUGCACAAAUCUUUACCAUGAUAACCCUCUUAACUCCACCUAACACAAAAUCAAUGUGUUGAUUAGAAUAAUCUAGUUUUGCACUUCCCUGCCAACACUCCAAAAGGAGAGGGAGGCUUUAAUUUAGAAAGGAGGGAUUUUCUAUCUCUUGUAGUAAUUGAUAACAACUUUCAGUUGCAUCAGUAAAACAAUUUUGGAGAGUGAUAGUGUGGCCUAGAAUAAAGAACAGUCAAAUUCCUGUUUCCUGGUAUUUAUCUAAUUGGUCUAACAGGUGUUCCUAUUUGUUUAAAUAUAAUGUGCAAAGGAUAGAAAGCACCAUUUAAACCAGGUCAUUCUUCUCUAAGAAUCCAUUUAUGUCCAUUCCUUGUUUUAUGUAAACAGAAAUCACCUGUGUUAUUUUUCAAUAACACAAGACAAAGAACUCCACAGUCUGAAAAAGAAAAAAAAAGGAUUUUCCUUUACCUAAGUCGUCUUUAAUUCAUGUAAUUUCAAAAUAUCUGGAAUAAUUGGGCUCUUUGUCCAUUGCUUCAGAAGCCAAAUAUUAAGGACCCAAUAUAAUGAUAAUCUAUCUCAAUUAUUGAGGGCCAUGUGCAGGAAGUGCACUGAUUUCAAUACCUCUACAUGACGGCCCCCUGAGACAGUCCUAGGAGUAUGUCCACUCUACAGACGAGGAGACUGAGGUUCAGAGAGAUGACGUGGCUUCCUAAGGGGAGGGGCAGAGACAAGAUGAGGCCUGGUCUGUGAGUCCCAAAGCCUAUGCUUUUAGACACUGUCGUUACCCCAUUUUAGACCAAGGCUUGCACUUCCAGUGUGUUCUAGCAUGGCGUUGUCAGGAGCCCAUUUUUCUGCCUGUAGCAGACGUAUGGGAUUGGGAAGGUUAAAGAGAGUGGGGAAAUAAGGAGCAAAAACCAGCCAGCCACACAACUACAAGCAGGGUUCCUCAGACACCUGAUUCCUGGCUGCCUAACAUCUGUGCUCACACAGGGACUAGCAUCGCACUGGGUGUCCUGUUCUACCUGUGGCAGGCUGACAGGUACCUGCAAGAAGGCAUGACCUACAGGCUCGGGAUCAGCUUCUACCUGGCAUGGAUCGGCAUCUUCCUGUUCCUGAUGACUGGCUUCUUCUCCUAUCUGAAUUACAUGAAUUUCUGGUCUAUCCUGGCACUCCAGGCUGUCUGGACUUAGGACGCAGGAAUGGUCUCACCAGUGACCUACAGGCAUGGCUCCUCGUCAAGCACCCACUCCAGAGCCAUCCCCUCCAAGAGUCUUGUACUUUUUCAGCCCCCUUGAUACCCCUCAUUCCAGAUAAUAAAUGAUUUUUUAAAUAAUCUGUAUUUUCUGCCUAGAAUAUUCCUUUAUUUAGCUUUGCGCCUUGGAAGCAUUUUGUGAAAAGGCCACCCCUCUCUUCUGGCUAUCUUUGGGCCAUCUAGGAAAGAGGGACGGGGAAGGGGAGGCAAGG
This is a long non-coding RNA of Heterocephalus glaber (naked mole-rat), 2427 nucleotides long. NCBI's taxonomy places the organism in Eukaryota, Metazoa, Chordata, Mammalia, Rodentia, Bathyergidae. The record is from Ensembl.